CUGGGGGGACAUUCAUCCUCGGCUUACGAAGAUGACCGGAUUAAGAGAUUAAAGACAGGCAUAGGAAAUCACAGGGGUAUUGAUUGGGGAAGUGAUAAGUGUCCAUGAAAUCUUCACAAUUUAUGUUCAGAGAUUGCAGUAAAGACAGGCAUAAGAAAUUAUAGAAGUAUUAAUUUGGGGAACUAAUAAAUGUCCAUGAAAUCUUCACAAUUUAUGUUCUUCUGCUGUGGCUUCAGCCGGUCCCUCUGUUCAGGGUCCCUGACUUCCCGCAACACGUUUCUCUCUACUCACAGACUUCUGACCAAAUGUGUGUGCGGAGUUUCUACACCAAUUCUCCAACUCUCUGGAUACCAACCGCAUAUCCCACAAUUCCAUUCUGACACUGCCUAGAGUUAGCGCAGAACCCACAGGUUAGGGGCUCAGUCCCGCAAGACCACCCUCACUUCAGAUGCCAGUUGCAAGUCCUAGGUUGUCACCUGUAUUUUGACCAACCAGUUAGAAAUCAGGGUUUCCCAUGACCCUCUUCUUGAGUUUAGUUAUUUACUAGAACAACUCACAGAACUUAGAAAAACAGGUUUUUUUCUUUUCUUUUUAAGAGACAGGGCCUCGCUCUGUUGUCCAGGCUGGUGUGCAGUGGUGCAAUCAUAGCUCAUUGAAGCCUCAACCUCCAGGGCUCAAGUGAUUCUCCUGCUUCAGCCUCUCAAGUAGCUGAAAUUACAGGGUUCCCACCACCACAUCUGGCUAAUUUCUUUUAUUUUUUGUAUAGAUGGGGUCUUCUUAUGUUGCCCAGGCUGGUCUCAAAUUCCUAGGCUCAAGUGAUUCCGCCCACCUCUGCCUCCCAAAGUGCUGGGAUUACAGUCAUGAGCCAGCGCAUCUGGCCACCUUAUUUUCUAUUACUGGCUCAAUGUAAUGGCUCCAUCUCAGGAACAGCCAAUGAAAGAGAUGCACAGGACAAGAGAUGGGGCCUCAGUAUGUUGCCACGGCUGACCUUGAACUCCUGCACUCAAGGGAUUUUCCUGCCCUGGCCUCCCAAAGUAUUGGUAUUACAGGCAUGAGCCAUUGUGCCCACCGUCUCUGGUUCUUAACCUUCUACUUCCCUCUUCCAGUUUUAAAGAAUGCUUGUAAUUACAUGGGCUCUCCUAGAUACUCCAGGAUAAUCUUGUUUUAAGGUCAGCUGAUGAGCAACAUUAAUUUUAUCUGCACUCUUAAUUCCCCCUUCCUAUGUAAUUGUGCUGUGUAACAUAGGACAUGAGCAAUUGGUGGGGGUGGGGGUUAUUACUUUGGCCACCACAGUAUUUUAUGCCAGGUACUCAGCUAAGCACUGGUGAAUUAAGCAUGAAUAACACACACUCCCUAAUCUCCAUCCAUUCAUGGGAGGAGCACCUCACCUGCCAUGCUCCUGAGAAUCUGGGGAGUCAAAGAAGUCUUCCAUGAGGAGGUGAUGCCAAAGCGGACAAGUGACAGAGUCGAAGCUAGCUAGGAAGAGAGUAGAGGUUUAAGGGGAAGCGUAUUAUAAGCAGAGGAUAUCACCCACUUCAGAGACUCCCAGAGGAGAAAGAGUGUGUGUUCAAAGGGCAGAUGAGGCUCAGUUGGACUCCAUAGCAGAUGAAAUGGAGAGGGGCAAGCAAUGAGGCUGCCUUGCAAGGCAGGGCAGAGCAGGGGCUGUUGAAGGGUUUGGACUUAAUCCCUGAGGCAAGGAGAAGUGAUGUAAAUGGGGGAGUAACAUGAUGAGAUUAAUGGAUUAGAGACAUGGCUCAGGCUGCUGUAGAGAAGGCACCAGGGAGAGCAGAUGGCUCAAUGGGUGUGUAGGAGACCUCUCACUGAGUUUAGGGAGAGGUUUUUAAAACAGAAGAAGUUUGAGUAAUUUAAAUGAUGAUGGGAAGGAGCUAAAAGUAGGGGAUAGGUUAAAGAUACAGGAAAGUGGGAGGAAGAACUGACAAGUGAGGUUCCAGAGAGGGCAGGAGAAGAGGAGAUUCCCAUAGGGGGAUUAACACUUUCUUUUCUUUUUUCUUUCUAAGACAGGGUCUCACUCUGUCGUCCAGGCUGGAGUGCAGUGGCACAAUCUUGGCUCACUGUAGUGUAGGCUUCCCAGGCUCAAGGGAUUCUCCCACCCCAGACUCCCAAGUAGCUGGAACUACGGGUGUGCACCACCACCACACCUGGCUAAUGUUUCUUUUUUUGGUAGACACAGAGUCUCACUAUUUUGCGCUGAUUGGUCUCCAACUCCUGGCCUCAAGCGAUCCUCCUGCCUAGGCUUCCCAAAUUGCUGGGAUUACAGGCAUGAGCCAUAAUGCCUGGCCUCUGCUAGUUCUGUAUUCUCUAGAGUUGUCUUUACUUUGUGCUAGCGUGUCCCUCAUUGUGCUAAUCCUCUGUAAAAAUUAAUACCUUUUUUUCUUUUCGAGAUGGA
RNAcentral lists this long non-coding RNA (2407 nucleotides) under Homo sapiens (human). RNAcentral's name for it is "HSALNT0128793". The record is from RNAcentral. Lineage: Eukaryota; Metazoa; Chordata; Mammalia; Primates; Hominidae.